Molecule: long non-coding RNA, 401 nt
Organism: Cyprinus carpio (common carp)
Lineage: Eukaryota; Metazoa; Chordata; Actinopteri; Cypriniformes; Cyprinidae
Source: RefSeq, a predicted model, not a curated record
UAUACACAAGUUAAGAGCGUCAUUCCUGGCAUUUUACUCUACUUAUAUAUAGAAGAGGGAGCCUGCUUGCCAUCAGGACACCCAUCAGUGUUUACUUACAUUUUUAAUUCUAUUCUAAGAAAGAGAGAAUAUGCAAAUCAGUGAAAACAUGAAUCCUGUGAAGCUUGUUAAACGGAGCAGCUGGAGUUCAAACUCCACACACAACCUGAAGAGGAGAAGUGAAAGAGGAGUUGCUUCUUUGUUGGAUCGCUUAUAGAAUUCUGUUCCAAUAGAUUCAUAACCAUACAAGCUAAAAUGAUCACACAUUCUUCAAGCAAUUAAGCUUUUAAAUUCUUCUGAUGGUCAGUUAGACUGGAUAUUAUAAUUUGAUUUAUUAGUAUUAAAUGUAUUGUCUACAUGCA